This 394-nucleotide ribosomal RNA is filed under the name uncultured bacterium. RNAcentral describes it as "partial 16S ribosomal RNA". It matches the Rfam family "Bacterial small subunit ribosomal RNA", at positions 523 to 918 of the family's 1533-position model. The record is from RNAcentral.
AUACGUAGGGGGCAAGCGUUAUCCGGAAUUAUUGGGCGUAAAGCGUGCGUAGGCGGCUUUUUAAGCGUGGGGUUCAAGGCUAUGGCUCAACCAUAGUAUGCCCUGCGAACUGGAAGGCUUGAGUACAGGAGAGGAAAGCGGAAUUCCUAGUGUAGCGGUGAAAUGCGUAGAUAUUAGGAGGAACACCAGUGGCGAAGGCGGCUUUCUGGACUGAAACUGACGCUGAGGUACGAAAGCGUGGGGAGCAAACAGGAUUAGAUACCCUGGUAGUCCACGCUGUAAACGAUGAGCACUAGGUGUCGGGGUCGCAAGACUUCGGUGCCGCAGUUAACGCAAUAAGUGCUCCGCCUGGGGAGUACGUUCGCAAGAAUGAAACUCAAAUGAAUUGACGGGG